Molecule: long non-coding RNA, 2491 nt
Filed under: Ananas comosus (pineapple)
Lineage: Eukaryota; Viridiplantae; Streptophyta; Magnoliopsida; Poales; Bromeliaceae
Description: long non-coding RNA (ACOM_LNC029914)
Source: RNAcentral
UUAUACUCUUAUGAGUAUUAGGUCUUUCGUACUCAUAAGUUAUUUUCGGAUGAUGGAGCUUUCGAAUCGACGUCCACUCCGUUAAAUAUGAUCUAGAGUAUUUGAAAUUUUUAAGGAAUAAUUUCGUAAUUUUUCGAAAUAAAUAAAAUCCAUCAAGCGGGCAUAAAAUAAAUGGUUAAAAUCGAACAACAUCCUAAAAAUAGAUGAUUGGAUCCUUCAAUUUAAGAUCGGAGUAUUGAUCUUAUCUAAGGUAGUGAAUAGAAUUUUUUAUCAAAAAAUUCAACCUAUUCCGAUUCUUUUGCACUGUUAAACUAGCAAUAUCCCAUACCAGCGCGUUAAAAAUUGUCAAUUUUGUGAGCUUUUGAUCGUAAGGUAACUGAUAUCGAAAUUAUAAAAUUUGAAUUCUAGAAGUUUUAAAUUCUCUAAAACUGUUUAAUAGUAUGGAUCGUCGAUUCAGAAGCUUUAUCAUCAAAACGACUUAUGAGUACGAAGGCGAUCAUACUCUUAAGGAGUAUAGUAACCAAACUCUUCUCUCUAUAUAUAUGUUACUAUUGAUAAGUAAUAUCGAGUUUGUCGACCCGUUAGAUAAAAGAUGUGCGGUUAGGAUACUAGUGGCUAGUUAGAUUGAGUGGAUGGUUGGUUAAAUGGUAUAAUCUAAGGAUGGAAUAACAAAGGAUAAAUCUAACGGCAGAUAUAUCAAGAGAGUAGCCGGACUCAUAUUAUACAUAAAAACACAUAUUUUAAAUUUCAAUAUGUAGGUGGACCUAUUUCAAAAUUAUUCUUUUUUCGUAUGCAAAAUAAAUAAUAUAGUGAAAUAAUUUUAGUUGAUAUAUAUUAUAUAUAUAUAUAUUAUUAUAGGAGACGAGAGAGAGAGAAAGAGAGUCCGGUUACUAUACUAUCGAUAUUAUCAAGCCCUUGAUGCUAUUGAGUUUUCUACCAUUAGAUUUUACCCUUUGAUCAUUUCCACCCGUUAGAUUAUACUAUUAACCAACCACCCACUCAACCUCGGGACCACUAUCAAUUUAAUCGGGGACCACUAUCAUCCUACUGCACAUCCUUUCAUCCAACGGCCGAAAAACUCAAAUAGUACCAAGGGCUUGGUACUAUUGAAGUAUAGUAGCAUAUAUAUAUAUAUUAUAUAUAUAUAUAUAUAUAAUAGGCUGGAAUACUGCUCAAUAGCACCAAAUUAUUGGUGCUAUUUAGUUUUUAGCCAAUUGGAUUAAGAAAUGUGCGGUUAGGAUGAUGUGAGCCCUUUAGGAUAGAGUGGAGUAGUUAGUUGAAUAGUAUAAUCUAACGGAUAAAAAUAAUUAGAGUUAAUCUAACGGCAGAAAACUUAGAAGCAUCAAGCUGUUGAUGCUAUCAAUAGCAUAGCAAGCGGACUUCAUAUAUAUAUAUAUAUAUAUAAUAUAUAUAUAUAGAGAGAGAGAGAGAGAGAGAGAUGAGAGAGAGGAGAACUAGCGGAAUACUAUCAAUAGCACCAAACUAUUGGUGCUAUUGAUUUUUUAGCCCUUGGAUUGAGAAAUGGGUAUUAGGAUGAUGUGGGCCCCCUAGGGUUAAGUGAAUGGUUAGUUGAAUAGUAUAAUCUAACGGGGUAAAAUAAUCAUAUGGUUAAAUCUAACGGUGGAAAACUCGAUAGCACAAAAUCUUUGGUGCUUACGAUAGUACCUCAGCCGGACUCUAUAUAUAUAUAUAUAUAUAAUAUAUAUAUAUAUGAGCUACAUGUUUCAUUAGAUAAACUGGUAUUAUAAUUUCAAUUUGAUUUUUUUUUUUNNNNNNNNNNNNNNNNNNNNNNNNNUAUAUAUAUAUAUAUAUAUAUAUAUAUAUAUAUAUAUAUAUAGUGGAGCUAUUAUACUCUUAUGAGUAUUAGGUCUUUCGUACUCAUAAGUUAUUUUCGAUGAUGGAGCUUUCGAAUCGACGAUCCACUCCGUUAAAUAUGAUCUAGAGUAUUUGAAAUUUUUAAGGAAUAAAUUUCGUAAUUUUUCGAAAUCAUAAUAAAAUCCAUCAAGCCGGCAUAAAAUAAAUGGUUAAAAUCGAACAACAUCCUAAAAAUAGAUGAUUGGAUCCUUCAAUUUAAGAUCGGAGUUAUUGAUCUUUAUCUAGGUAGUGAAUAGAAUUUUUUAUCAAAAAUUCAACCUAUUCCGAUUCUUUUGCACUGUUAAACUAGCAAGUAUCCCAUACCAGCCGUUAAAAAUUGUCAAUUUUGUGAGCUUUUGAUCGUAAGGUAACUGAUAUCGAAAAAUUAUAAAAUUUGAAUUCUAGAAGUUUUAAAUUCUCUAAAAACUGUUUAAUAGUAUGGAUCGUCGAUUCAGAAGCUUUAUCAUCAAAAACGACUUAUGAGUACGAAGGCGAUCAUACUCUUAAGAGUAUAGUAACCAAACUCUCUCUCUCUAUAUAUAUGUUACUAUUGAUAAGUAAUAUCGAGUUUUCGACCGUUAGAUAAAAAGAUGUGCGGUUAGGAUACUAGUGGUCUGCUUAGAUUGAGUGGAUGGUU